CAGUAGCCGCGGUAAUACGUAGGGUGCGAGCGUUAAUCGGAAUUACUGGGCGUAAAGCGUGCGCAGGCGGUUAUAUAAGACAGAUGUGAAAUCCCCGGGCUCAACCUGGGACCUGCAUUUGUGACUGUAUAGCUAGAGUACGGUAGAGGGGGAUGGAAUUCCGCGUGUAGCAGUGAAAUGCGUAGAUAUGCGGAGGAACACCGAUGGCGAAGGCAAUCCCCUGGACCUGUACUGACGCUCAUGCACGAAAGCGUGGGGAGCAAACAGGAUUAGAUACCCCUGUAGUCCCUGUCUCUUAUAC
Molecule: ribosomal RNA, 301 nt
Filed under: uncultured bacterium
Lineage: Bacteria
Description: partial 16S ribosomal RNA
Rfam family: Bacterial small subunit ribosomal RNA
Source: RNAcentral